AUCUAAUCCUGUUUGCUCCCCACGCUUUCGCACCUGAGCGUCAGUCUUUGUCCAGGGGGCCGCCUUCGCCACCGGUAUUCCUCCAGAUCUCUACGCAUUUCACCGCUACACCUGGAAUUCUACCCCCCUCUACAAGACUCUAGCUUGCCAGUUUCAAAUGCAGUUCCCACGUUAAGCGCGGGGAUUUCACAUCUGACUUAACAAACCGCCUGCGUGCGCUUUACGCCCAGUAAUUCCGAUUAACGCUUGCACCCUCCGUAUUACCGCGGCUGCUGGCACGGAGUUAGCCGGUGCUUCUUCUGCGAGUAACGUCAAUGAACUGUGCUAUUAACACUCGAACCCUUCCUCCUCGCUGAAAGUGCUUUACAACCCGAAGGCCUUCUUCACACACGCGGCAUGGCUGCAUCAGGCUUGCGCCCAUUGUGCAAUAUUCCCCACUGCUGCCUCCCGUAGGAGUCUGGACCGUGUCUCAGUUCCAGUGUGGCUGGGUCAUCCUCUCAGAACCAGCUAGGGGAUCGUCGCCCUAGGGUGAGCCAUUAACCCAACCCUACUAAGCUAAAUUCCAAUUCUGGGGGCAACAUUUCUGGAAUUGGGCCGUUGAAGGGG
RNAcentral lists this ribosomal RNA (606 nucleotides) under Serratia liquefaciens. RNAcentral describes it as "partial 16S ribosomal RNA". Lineage: Bacteria; Pseudomonadati; Pseudomonadota; Gammaproteobacteria; Enterobacterales; Yersiniaceae. The record is from RNAcentral.